UUUUUGUUAUACAGAGGAUAAGUUUAACCAUGAAUCAACAUCUUCCAUACAUUUGCAACCAUAUUACACAAAAAAACAAGUGACAAACAUAUUUCUCAUUAUGUCUAAAUAUUCUUCAUGCUUUACUACCCACCUUUACACCCUUACAAAAAUUAUCUAGUGUCACUUUGUUAAUUAGAACUCUAGACCCGUUUUUGAAUUGGGUCACGAAUGGUAUUCGAUUUCUUUUAACAGCAAAAAAGCAUUCGAACUUGGGAGAUGCAAAAAAGAAUAAGGUUCUUUUUUAUAUUCCUUCUUCAAGAUAGUANGCACAGGUGAGAACAUCCCUAAUCGAAUGGCCUAGCUUUGCUUCUUUCUCUUUCUCUGCUUCGGUUUACCAAAGGGGGUGAGGUCGACCUUCUUUAGGUGGUACCUUUUCUGUCUAACUCGUUCUCUUGGUCAAAACAACUACUCCUUAGUGGCCAAUAAGAAUCAGAAUCGCCCGGGAUGAGUGAGAGCUAAAAGAAAAGCCUAGCGGCAAUUCCCGAUCUUCUCUUGAUAACACUUUAAUUUUUCAAAAUAAUCUUAUUUAGAAUUAUGUUGUCCUACAUUUCUAAAUUGUGUUAUAUGCUCAUUUAUAUAUGUUUUACUUCUUC
Molecule: long non-coding RNA, 635 nt
Filed under: Vigna radiata
Lineage: Eukaryota; Viridiplantae; Streptophyta; Magnoliopsida; Fabales; Fabaceae
Description: long non-coding RNA (VRAD_LNC012783)
Source: RNAcentral